Molecule: long non-coding RNA, 783 nt
Filed under: Anser brachyrhynchus (Pink-footed goose)
Lineage: Eukaryota; Metazoa; Chordata; Aves; Anseriformes; Anatidae
Description: lncRNA (ENSABRG00000007552.1)
Source: RNAcentral
AACAGUAAAUCAGUGGCAAUUACUGCCACUUGUAGCAGUAGUCUUCUGUACCUGCCAACAUCUGUGUGUGGUGCUUGGUGGUAGGAUGUGUACAGAGCAGACAGCUGGGCAUAGCUGUCUUCCUACUCCUGUUUUGUCUUGUUGAUAUGGUGAAGGCUGUAGAUUCUCAGUCUGUUGGGAUUCAAAGAAUUGGGCCUUUCUCUGAUACUGCUUGUCUGGUCCAUAACUCCCUACAACACUAAGGCUCCCAUAUGGAUUUCUUUCACCUUCUGUUUUAGCUCCAUACUCUGCAGAUUGCAAAUAAGCCUGUUAAGUCUCCUGCAGUGAUUGUGAGAUACUUUAGCACCUGUCUCCUCACACUUGCCUACUGCAAUGAUAUGUCUCACACAGUAGUGCUGCUGCUGCUACCUUUCCUUCCCUCAGGGCUCCCAUCCACACACUCUUGACCAACAGCUCUGCAGUCUGUCCCCCAGCUGCACCUGCACAGAUUGGAUGUGUCAUAAAAUAGCUAAAUCCCAGCUGGGUGGUCCCAGCAUGGAGCAUUUACGCAGUUCUUCAGAAACAGAUGCAGCUCUUAGCAGAGACUACAAUGAAGGAGACUACAGGGUAGCAAGCAAGGCACAACAGUCUCCUUUCUGCCUCACCCAGUCUUUCCUCAGUGCUUCCUGGCAGCUCUUCUUGCUUUGUGACUCGAGUAUGAAGAGCACCUCCUUACUCCAGGCUGAGGACCAUGGAGUCUUACAAACUGCCUGUUCACCAACUGUUAUGAAGAGGGACAUUUGA